RNAcentral lists this ribosomal RNA (253 nucleotides) under uncultured bacterium. Its description in RNAcentral is "partial 16S ribosomal RNA". It matches the Rfam family "Bacterial small subunit ribosomal RNA", at positions 524 to 776 of the family's 1533-position model. The record is from RNAcentral.
UACGUAGGGUGCGAGCGUUGUCCGGAAUUACUGGGCGUAAAGAGCUCGUAGGUGGUUUGUCGCGUUGUUCGUGAAAUCUCACGGCUUAACUGUGAGCGUGCGGGCGAUACGGGCAGACUAGAGUACUACAGGGGAGACUGGAAUUCCUGGUGUAGCGGUGGAAUGCGCAGAUAUCAGGAGGAACACCGGUGGCGAAGGCGGUUCGCUGGGCCGUAGCUGACGCUGAGGCGCGACAGCGUGGGGAGCAAACAGG